RNAcentral lists this ribosomal RNA (403 nucleotides) under uncultured bacterium. RNAcentral describes it as "bacterial SSU rRNA". It matches the Rfam family "Bacterial small subunit ribosomal RNA", at positions 355 to 775 of the family's 1533-position model. The record is from RNAcentral.
UGGGGAAUAUUGGACAAUGGGCGCAAGCCUGAUCCAGCCAUGCCGCGUGAGUGAUGAAGGCCUUAGGGUUGUAAAGCUCUUUCGUUGGGGAAGAUAAUGACGGUACCCAAAGAAGAAGCCCCGGCUAACUUCGUGCCAGCAGCCGCGGUAAUACGAAGGGGGCUAGCGUUGUUCGGAAUUACUGGGCGUAAAGCGCACGUAGGCGGAUGUUUAAGUUAGGGGUGAAAGCCCAGGGCUCAACCCUGGAAUUGCCUCUAAUACUGGACAUCUUGAGGCCGAGAGAGGUGAGUGGAACUCCGAGUGUAGAGGUGAAAUUCGUAGAUAUUCGGAAGAACACCAGUGGCGAAGGCGGCUCACUGGCUCGGUACUGACGCUGAGGUGCGAAAGCGUGGGGAGCAAACAG